This 393-nucleotide long non-coding RNA is filed under the name Monodelphis domestica (gray short-tailed opossum). RNAcentral describes it as "lncRNA (ENSMODG00000032311.2)". Lineage: Eukaryota; Metazoa; Chordata; Mammalia; Didelphimorphia; Didelphidae. The record is from RNAcentral.
GAUCCUCUGGCCUGUUAGGACAUGAGGCAUCAACAAAUGUGCAAUUAAGAAGAAAAAACCCUUUAAGGAGGGAAUGCUAGAGAAUAAAAUCCCUCUAUAGCUCUUCUAAGAGCCUUGCCAGGAAAGCCAUCUGUCAGGAGAUUAGUAAGAAGGUAAUUUCGGCAGGAAUUUUCCCUUGGGACCAUAUGGAGUGCCAGGAAAAGGUGUUGUGGCAUCAGGAGUGAAGACAAAAGCUCAGGGUCCUCAGCAGUGUUUAUCACAGACAGAAAGGAAACUAUCUACCCAUUCAUUGAGUCUUCCGGAAGAAGAGAGGGAGCUGCAUUGCUUUUGACAGGAGAUCUCGAGAACUAUUGGGAGGAGUUGAUGAAAUCAAAUCCCCUUAAAGUUUACUAA